AGAGCGAACGCUGGCGGCAGGCCUAAUACAUGCAAGUCGAACGGAUCCUUCGGGAUUAGUGGCGGACGGGUGAGUAACACGUGGGAACGUGCCCUUUGGUUCGGAACAACUCAGGGAAACUUGAGCUAAUACCGAAUGAGCCCCCAUCCUUAAACAAGAUGGGUGGGAAAGAUUUAUCGCCAUUGGAGCGGCCCGCGUCUGAUUAGCUAGUUGGUGGGGUAAAGCCCACCAAGGCGACGAUCAGUAGCUGGUCUGAGAGGAUGAUCAGCCACACUGGGACUGAGACACGGCCCAGACUCCUACGGGAGGCAGCAGUAGGGAAUCUUGCGCAAUGGGCGAAAGCCUGACGCAGCCAUGCCGCGUGAAUGAUGAAGGUCUUAGGAUUGUAAAAUUCUUUCAGCGGGGACGAUAAUGACGGUACCCGCAGAAGAAGCCCCGGCUAACUUCGCGCCAGCAGCCGC
Molecule: ribosomal RNA, 461 nt
Filed under: uncultured bacterium
Lineage: Bacteria
Description: SSU rRNA
Rfam family: Bacterial small subunit ribosomal RNA
Source: RNAcentral